Molecule: long non-coding RNA, 500 nt
Organism: Cydia pomonella (codling moth)
Lineage: Eukaryota; Metazoa; Arthropoda; Insecta; Lepidoptera; Tortricidae
Exons: 2
Source: RefSeq, a predicted model, not a curated record
ACUAGACAAGCAAAAUCGUGAAGUUAUUUUUAGGGAGACAAAGAAAUUUAAAUGGCAACACUCAAAAUAAGUUGUCACUGUUCCAAUCCAAUUUGUAAUGAAAUGGUUUUGUAAUAAAUCUUUUUUUUUAUUUGAUUCUAAAUGUAGAAAUUUGAUUAGAUACAUACCUAUGAACGUCACUUGCGACUUUGUCUUGCAGGCACAAAAUAGUGAAUUCAACUAAAGCAAAGCUAAAGCUAUUGAAAUGAAGUUCCGGUUUGGGAAUCAGUGAUGAAAAUUGCAUGCGAAUGGAUUAUCACUUCAGGAACCAGUCUCUAGCUACUAGAAGUAACAAUAUAGUAUGGGGCAGGACAAUGAGAUGAGAUAUGGUCAAUGCAUCUCAUUACCCAAUUAAAAUAUUUUGAGGUAAAAAUGGUAUCAAUUUUUAUACCUGCCUCAAUGGAUACAGACACAAGCUACGAAAAUCUUUUUAAUAGUAAUAAAUCCUCAUAAAAAAGAAA